GCAAGUCGAACGAGAAAACUGAUUAGUUUACUAAGAUGUUUUCUAGUGGCGGACGGGUUAGUAACACGUGAGCAACCUGCCUCGAAGCGGGGGAUAGCCUUCCGAAAGGGAGAUUAAUACCGCAUGUGGCCCCCUGUUAAAAGGGUGGUUAAAGGCGCCUUCGGGUGUCGCUUCGAGAUGGGCUCGCGGCCUAUCAGCUAGAUGGUGAGGUAACGGCUCACCAUGGCAACGACGGGUAGCUGGUCUGAGAGGACGAUC
RNAcentral lists this ribosomal RNA (258 nucleotides) under uncultured bacterium. RNAcentral's name for it is "partial 16S ribosomal RNA". It matches the Rfam family "Bacterial small subunit ribosomal RNA", at positions 57 to 305 of the family's 1533-position model. The record is from RNAcentral.